UACGUAGGGGGCAAGCGUUGUCCGGAUUUAUUGGGCAUAAAGAGCGUGUAGGCGGCCAUACAGGUCAGCUGUGAAAACUCGAGGCUCAACCUCGAGACGUCGGUUGAAACCGUAUGGCUAGAGUCCGGAAGAGGAGAGUGGAAUUCCCGGUGUAGCGGUGAAAUGCGCAGAUAUCGGGAAGAACACCCGUGGCGAAGGCGGCUCUCUGGGACGGUACUGACGCUGAGACGCGAAAGCGUGGGGAGCGAACAGG
RNAcentral lists this ribosomal RNA (253 nucleotides) under uncultured bacterium. RNAcentral's name for it is "partial 16S ribosomal RNA". It matches the Rfam family "Bacterial small subunit ribosomal RNA", at positions 524 to 776 of the family's 1533-position model. The record is from RNAcentral.